This 492-nucleotide ribosomal RNA is filed under the name uncultured bacterium. RNAcentral describes it as "partial 16S ribosomal RNA". It matches the Rfam family "Bacterial small subunit ribosomal RNA", at positions 29 to 507 of the family's 1533-position model. The record is from RNAcentral.
AGUGAACGCUGGCGGUAGGCCUAACACAUGCAAGUCGAACGGCAGCACAGUAAGAGCUUGCUCUUACGGGUGGCGAGUGGCGGACGGGUGAGGAAUACAUCGGAAUCUACUUUUUCGUGGGGGAUAACGUAGGGAAACUUACGCUAAUACCGCAUACGACCUACGGGUGAAAGCAGGGGAUCUUCGGACCUUGCGCGAUUGAAUGAGCCGAUGUCGGAUUAGCUAGUUGGCGGGGUAAAGGCCCACCAAGGCGACGAUCCGUAGCUGGUCUGAGAGGAUGAUCAGCCACACUGGAACUGAGACACGGUCCAGACUUCUACGGGGGGCAGCAGUGGGGAAUAUUGGGCAAUGGGCGCAAGCCUGAUCCAGCCAUACCGCGUGGGUGAAGAAGGCCUUCGGGUUGUAAAGCCCUUUUGUUGGGAAAGAAAAGCAGCAGGUUAAUACCCCGCUGUUCUGACGGUACCCAAAGAAUAAGCACCGGCUAACUUCGUG